CUAGACUGUAUGCCUGUUGUUUGCCUGCUACUCACAUGAGAACUGCACAAUUGAAAUAGGUGAAAGGAUCAUGUGUUUUUCCUAAAGCCAAUUAGAUUCACUAACAAACACGUAACGAUGAUGGAUAUUUAACACUUGAGGAUGGAGAUGUUUAGUCUGAAAGGGCCUUUUACAACACGUAAUAACUAAGCCUGUAUCUACAGGACCCCAGAUUUAUAGCAGAUUAUGAAUGAGCAGGAGAUGGUUAUUAGCUGUUCUGUUUGUCACGCUGCAGAUCAUUCACUUUAAAGGGCCUGUCAGGACAUGGUGAACGACAGCAGAUUCUGAGGAUGUUUAAAGUCCCUGUGAUCUGAAGCCAUGUUUGGAUGCAAACAUGUUUAGAUCUGUUGGCCAAGAUAAGUUUGAGCUCUGCACAGCCAGACCUUUUUAUGGAGUUGUGAAAACAAGUUGCAUGAUUUUUUUUUUUUUAAACCGUGAAAUAGGCUACAACCAUCCUCCUGACGUCUGGAUUUAUGGCCUGGUAAUUCCCCUCUGGAGUAAUUUGGCUGGUACAUCUGCAGCUUAGCCGCAUUCCAGCAGAGCUCUCCUGUGCUGUGAAGUCAGGAGAUGACUGAUUGAUUGAUUGUAUUACUCCAGUUUUAGCAUGGCUUUGCAGAGCUAUAGCAGUGAAGUUCUAAUGUGAUCUAUCCAGCGAGCAGCCUGCCUGCUUUUGGGUUAGCCUGCUGUGACGAUCGCAAAUCAUGGUUAGAAAGUGAACUUUGCAAAAUACCACACAGUAAUAACAGGAAACUGAUAGACACUGUUUCAGAUUAAAAGAUGUUUAACUUAAUUCCAAGCAGAAUUAUAUGUAAGAUUUAAUGGUUACAAAUUAUAAACACAACAACUGAAUGCAACACAGCGUUUAUGGUGUGUUUUCCCUGGUAACAACACGAAAAUUCAAUUAUCAAGUUCCUCAUCACUGACUUGAUGCUUCCACAUGUUAUUUUGGAUGCCAACUGCAGGCUAAAAAU
Astatotilapia calliptera (eastern happy) is the source of this 1010-nucleotide long non-coding RNA. Lineage: Eukaryota; Metazoa; Chordata; Actinopteri; Cichliformes; Cichlidae. The record is from Ensembl.